This 744-nucleotide ribosomal RNA is filed under the name uncultured bacterium. RNAcentral's name for it is "bacterial SSU rRNA". It matches the Rfam family "Bacterial small subunit ribosomal RNA", at positions 8 to 796 of the family's 1533-position model. The record is from RNAcentral.
AGAGUUUGAUCAUGGCUCAGAGCGAACGCUGGCGGCAGGCUUAACACAUGCAAGUCGAGCGGGCGUAGCAAUACGUCAGCGGCAGACGGGUGAGUAACGCGUGGGAACAUACCUUUUGGUUCGGAACAACACAGGGAAACUUGUGCUAAUACCGGAUAAGCCCUUACGGGGAAAGAUUUAUCGCCGAAAGAUUGGCCCGCGUCUGAUUAGCUAGUUGGUGAGGUAACGGCUCACCAAGGCGACGAUCAGUAGCUGGUCUGAGAGGAUGAUCAGCCACAUUGGGACUGAGACACGGCCCAAACUCCUACGGGAGGCAGCAGUGGGGAAUAUUGGACAAUGGGCGCAAGCCUGAUCCAGCCAUGCCGCGUGAGUGAUGAAGGCCCUAGGGUUGUAAAGCUCUUUUGUGCGGGAAGAUAAUGACGGUACCGCAAGAAUAAGCCCCGGCUAACUUCGUGCCAGCAGCCGCGGUAAUACGAAGGGGGCUAGCGUUGCUCGGAAUCACUGGGCGUAAAGGGUGCGUAGGCGGGUCUUUAAGUUAGGGGUGAAAUCCUGGAGCUCAACUCCAGAACUGCCUUUGAUACUGAGGAUCUUGAGUUCGGGAGAGGUGAGUGGAACUGCGAGUGUAGAGGUGAAAUUCGUAGAUAUUCGCAAGAACACCAGUGGCGAAGGCGGCUCACUGGCCCGAUACUGACGCUGAGGCACGAAAGCGUGGGGAGCAAACAGGAUUAGAUACCCUAGUAGUCC